CUCCCAGCUGUUUUUUUCAAAGAUGGUGUCUUUAUUGGGAAUGAGGCUACAGGUCACAUGACCAUCCAGCAUGUUUCCAGGUCUGAUGAAGGCCUCUACAAGUGUGACAUCAGCGGUCAUGGAGAGUCUCCAUCCAGCUGGAUCACUGUCACAGACAAACACACCACCACACCUCCACCUACAUUUAUCUCUAACCCUCCAUCUACCCCUGAUCCAUCUGCAGUGAGAACAUAAGACGUCUGAGCAAAGUAACCCAGAGGUACAGCUGCUCCUCAUUUAGUGCAAAGAAGAUAAAUCUGUUUCUUUAAAACUUGACCUUUUCCCUUAAACUGAUCAGAAAGUGAAUCAACAACAUGAGCAGGGAACAAGACCCUUACAGCAUUUUAAGUGUCAGAGGAUUUCUAGGUUUAUUAAUGUUUCAUUAUAAUUGUAUUAAUUUUAUUCUUAUACCUUAACUACACAUAAGUAUAAUUUCUGUGUAUCAAGUAACUUUUGUGCAGUGCUGUGUGAGAUUAUUCUGUUAUCAUAUGUUACCUUAUAUCUGUAAUCAAAGUAGUUGAAUUAUGAUACUGCUGUAGAUCAUAUUAUACCCCUUAAUAUAGAGUGUGUGAUCAGUAUGUAGUUUUA
This is a long non-coding RNA of Oreochromis niloticus (Nile tilapia), 627 nucleotides long. RefSeq lists it as uncharacterized. The record is from RefSeq and is a predicted model, not a curated record. Lineage: Eukaryota; Metazoa; Chordata; Actinopteri; Cichliformes; Cichlidae. The transcript has 2 exons.